AUUGAACGCUGGCGGCAGGCCUAACACAUGCAAGUCGAGCGGAUGAAGGGGGCUUGCUCCUGGAUUCAGCGGCGGACGGGUGAGUAAUGCCUAGGAAUCUGCCUGGUAGUGGGGGAUAACGUCCGGAAACGGGCGCUAAUACCGCAUACGUCCUGAGGGAGAAAGUGGGGGAUCUUCGGACCUCACGCUAUCAGAUGAGCCUAGGUCGGAUUAGCUAGUUGGUGGGGUAAAGGCCUACCAAGGCGACGAUCCGUAACUGGUCUGAGAGGAUGAUCAGUCACACUGGAACUGAGACACGGUCCAGACUCCUACGGGAGGCAGCAGUGGGGAAUAUUGGACAAUGGGCGAAAGCCUGAUCCAGCCAUGCCGCGUGUGUGAAGAAGGUCUUCGGAUUGUAAAGCACUUUAAGUUGGGAGGAAGGGCAGUAAGUUAAUACCCUGCUGUUUUGACGUUACCAACAGAAUAAGCACCGGCUAACUUCGUG
RNAcentral lists this ribosomal RNA (484 nucleotides) under uncultured bacterium. Its description in RNAcentral is "partial 16S ribosomal RNA". It matches the Rfam family "Bacterial small subunit ribosomal RNA", at positions 30 to 507 of the family's 1533-position model. The record is from RNAcentral.